AGAGUUUGAUCCUGGCUCAGAGUGAACGCUGGCGGCGUGCCUAAUACAUGCAAGUCGAACGAUGAAGCUUCUAGCUUGCUAGAAUGCUGAUUAGUGGCGCACGGGUGAGUAACGCAUAGGUCAUGUGCCUCUUAGUUUGGGAUAGCCAUUGGAAACGAUGAUUAAUACCAGAUACUCCCUACGGGGGAAAGAUUUAUCGCUAAGAGAUCAGCCUAUGUCCUAUCAGCUUGUUGGUAAGGUAAUGGCUUACCAAGGCUAUGACGGGUAUCCGGCCUGAGAGGGUGAACGGACACACUGGAACUGAGACACGGUCCAGACUCCUACGGGAGGCAGCAGUAGGGAAUAUUGCUCAAUGGGGGAAACCCUGAAGCAGCAACGCCGCGUGGAGGAUGAAGGUUUUAGGAUUGUAAACUCCUUUUGUUAGAGAAGAUAAUGACGGUAUCUGACGAAUAAGCACCGGCUAACUCCGUGCCAGCAGCCGCGGUAAUACGGAGGGUGCAAGCGUUACUCGGAAUCACUGGGCGUAAAGAGCGCGUAGGCGGGAUAGUCAGUCAGGUGUGAAAUCCUAUGGCUUAACCAUAGAACUGCAUUUGAAACUACUAUUCUAGAGUGUGGGAGAGGUAGGUGGAAUUCUUGGUGUAGGGGUAAAAUCCGUAGAGAUCAAGAGGAAUACUCAUUGCGAAGGCGACCUGCUGGAACAUUACUGACGCUGAUUGCGCGAAAGCGUGGGGAGCAAACAGGAUUAGAUACCCUGGUAGUCCACGCCCUAAACGAUGGAUGCUAGUUGUUGGAGGGCUUAGUCUCUCCAGUAAUGCAGCUAACGCAUUAAGCAUCCCGCCUGGGGAGUACGGUCGCAAGAUUAAAACUCAAAGGAAUAGACGGGGACCCGCACAAGCGGUGGAGCAUGUGGUUUAAUUCGAAGAUACACGAAGAACCUUACCUAGGCUUGACAUUGAGAGAAUCCGCUAGAAAUAGUGGAGUGUCUGGCUUGCUAGACCUUGAAAACAGGUGCUGCACGGCUGUCGUCAGCUCGUGUCGUGAGAUGUUGGGUUAAGUCCCGCAACGAGCGCAACCCCCUUUCUUAGUUGCUAACAGGUCAUGCUGAGAACUCUAAGGAUACUGCCUCCGUAAGGAGGAGGAAGGUGGGGACGACGUCAAGUCAUCAUGGCCCUUACGCCUAGGGCUACACACGUGCUACAAUGGGGUGCACAAAGAGAAGCAAUACUGCGAAGUGGAGCCAAUCUUCAAAACACCUCUCAGUUCGGAUUGUAGGCUGCAACUCGCCUGCAUGAAGCUGGAAUCGCUAGUAAUCGCAAAUCAGCCAUGUUGCGGUGAAUACGUUCCCGGGUCUUGUACUCACCGCCCGUCACACCAUGGGAGUUGUGUUUGCCUUAAGUCAGGAUGCUAAAUUGGCUACUGCCCACGGCACACACAGCGACUGGGGUGAAGUCGUAACAAGGUAACCGUAGGUGAACCUGCGGUUGGAUCACCU
RNAcentral lists this ribosomal RNA (1492 nucleotides) under Helicobacter pylori Hp P-23. RNAcentral describes it as "bacterial SSU rRNA". It matches the Rfam family "Bacterial small subunit ribosomal RNA". The record is from RNAcentral. Lineage: Bacteria; Pseudomonadati; Campylobacterota; Epsilonproteobacteria; Campylobacterales; Helicobacteraceae.